Molecule: ribosomal RNA, 3137 nt
Filed under: Durio zibethinus
Lineage: Eukaryota; Viridiplantae; Streptophyta; Magnoliopsida; Malvales; Malvaceae
Description: eukaryotic LSU rRNA
Rfam family: Eukaryotic large subunit ribosomal RNA (bases 394-3137)
Source: RNAcentral
ACUCUCGACAAUGGAUAUCUCGGCUCUUACAUCGAUGAAAAAGUAGUGAAAUGUGAUACUUGGUAUGAAUUGUAGAAUCUUAUGAACCAUCGAGUCUUCAAAUGUAGGUUGCACCUCAAGCCAUUAGGCUGAAGGCACGCUUGCCUGGGUGUCAUGCACUAUCGCCCCCCUUCUGACCCCUCCACCUGUAGGGUUCGAAGGGAGGAAGGGGGAGGAAAAUGGCCUUUCUUGAUCUGGUCGGUCAUGAUUGGCCCAAAAGUGAGUCCCCAACAACAACAGUGUUGUGACCGUCGAUGGUAAAGCUUUUGAUAUGCCUCAUCUCCAGUGACCCAUGCUUGUUGUCCAACCAGAUCCUAUCAAACCCCUCACAUCACUCAGCCAAAGCUCGUGUUGCGACCCUAGGUUAGGCGGGAUCACCCGCUGAGUUUAAGCAUAUUAAUAAGUGGAGAAAAAGAAAUUUACCAGGAUUCCCCUAGUAAUGGCGAGAUAAUGAGAAAAGCCUAGCUUGAGAAUUGGGCACCCUUGGCAUCUAAAUUAUAGUAUAGAGAAGUGUCCUCAAUGGUGCAUCGAGCCCAAGUUCCUUGGAAAGGGGCUUCAGAAAAGGUGAGAGCCCCAUUAUGCCUAGACCCUAUUGCACCAUGAGGCAUUGUCUGUGAGUCAGAUUGUUUAGGAAUGCAACCCCAAUCGUGUGACAAAUUCCAUUUACGGUUGAAUAUGGGCAAGAGACCGAUAGUGAACAAGUACCAUGAGGGAAAGAUGAAAAAGACUUUGAAAGAGAGUUAACAAGUGCUUGAAACUACCGAAAAUGGGGCAAAUGGGGACCAAUAAUGUACUUCGAUCGAAUGUUGAAAAGUGAGAGCCGAUCUACUAAUCGACUCUGGAUGUGGACCAACAUGGGUUGUGGUGGGAACCUAAGCCUAGGCUUUCGAUAUGCCAGUAGAGACAUCAUCGUCGUGAUCAUCGAAUGUAGCAUGCGCCAUCUUGACAUACCCCAACACCGGUGUGCUCUUGGUAUUGACCUACGGGCUUCCCAUCUGGCCUAUCUUCUUAUAUGGUCUAAGGAGUCUAACAUGUGUGUGAGUAAAUGGGCUAGAAAACCCAUAAGAUGCAAGAAAGCUAAUUGGUGGGAUAUCCCUCAUGGGUGCACUGCCAACCGACCUUAAUCUUCUAUGAAGGAUUCGAGUGCGAGCAUGCCUGUCAAAGCUCGAAAGAUGGUGAACUAUGCCUGGUGGGGCAAAGCCAAAGAAAACUUUGGUAGAGGCCCACAAUGAUACUGACAUGCAAAUCGUUCGUCCGACUUAGGUAUAGGGGUGAAAGACUAAUCGAACCAUCUAGUAGCUGGUUCCCUCUGAAGUUUCCCUCAAGAUAGCUAAAGCCCUUAACGAGUUCUAUCAGUUCAAACCAAUGAUUAAAGGCAUCAGGGGCACAAUGCCCUCUACCUAUUCUCAAACUUUAAAUAGGUAGGAUUGCAUGACUGCUUCAUUGAGCCAUGUCAUGGAAUCAAGAGCUCUAAUUGGUCCAUUUUUGGUAAGUAGAACUAACGAUGUAAGAUGAACCAAAAGUUAGGUUGUGGUGCCCAAGUGCACACUAACCUACAAUCCAUAAAGGGUGUUAGUCGAUUAAGAUAGUAGGAUGGUGGUCACGAAAGUCGAAAUCCACUAAGGAGUGUGUAACAACUCACCUACCGAAUCAACUAGCCUUAAAAAUGGGUGGUGCUUAAGUGCACAACCUAUACCUAGCCGUUAGGGCAAGGGCCAAGCCUCGCUGAGUAGGAGGGCAUGAUGAUCAUCCAAAACCCAAGGAACGAGCCCAGUCAGAAUGGCUAUCAAUGUAGAUCUUUGUGGUAAAAGCAAAUAUCCAAAUGAGAACUUUGAAAGCUGAAAAAGGGAAAGGUUCAAUGUGAACGGUACUUGCACAAGGGUUAGUUAAUCCUAAGAGAUGGGGGAAGCCCAUCCGAUAUCGCGUCUAGCAUGAGCUUCAAAAGUGAAUAGGGUUAAAAUUCUUAAAUCAGGAUGUGAUGGCUGACGACAAUGUUAGGGACUCUAGAAACAUCGAUCGAGGCCUCGGGAAGAGUUAUCUUUUCUGUUUAAUUACCUAUCCACCCUAGAAACAGCACUGUCGAAAGUAGGGUGGAAUGGCCAGAAGAGCACCACACAUCACGUGGUAUCUGAUCCACCCUCGGUAGCCUUUGAAAAUCUAGAGGACUGAGUGCCAUCCACGCCUGCUCAUACUCAUAACCACAUCAGGUCUCCAAGCUGAAUAGCCUCUGGUUGAUGAAACAAUAUAGGUAAAGAAAGUUGGCAAAAUGGAUCUGUAACCUCAAGAAAAAGAUUGGCUUUGAGGGUUGGGCAUUAAAGUCCCAGUCUUAAACUCGUAGGUUGUCAGUGCAUUACUCGAGUUGCUUCCACUAUGAGAGCUGAUCAUCGCAUGUAGGCUGAGGGAUGGAUAGGGAAUAGCUCCCUUGAGAACCUUCUCUAGGCGAUGAACAAUCGACUCAAAACUGGUAUAGAUAAGGGGAAUCCGACUGUUUAAUUUAAACAAAGCAUUGUGAUGGUCCUCAUGGAUGCUUAUGUAAUGCGAUUUCUACCUAGUGCUCUAAAUGUUAAUGUGAAGAAAUUCAACCAAGUGCGGGUAAACAAUGGGAGUAACUAUUUUUAAGGUAGCCAAAUGCCUCAUCAUCUAAUUAGUGACACAUAUGAAUGGAUUAACGGGAUUCCCACUAUCCCUAUCUACUAUCCAACAAAAUCGCAACCAAGUGAAUAGGCUUGGCAUAAUCAACAGGGUAAGAAGACCCUAUUAAGCUUGACUCUAGUCUGACUUUAUGGAAUGACUUAAAAGGUGUAGGAUAAGUGGGAGCACCCAAGCGAAAUUAAAAUACCACUACUUUUAAAGCUCUUGGCAUGCCUUUUAUCCAGUGAAGCACAUUUCCUAUCCACCCAAACCCCAUCAGAACCCCUACAUUACUCAGUCGAUGCUCGCGUCAUGACCCCAGAUUAGGUCGGGUCACCCAGUAAGUUUAAUCAUAUCAAUAAGCGAAAGAAAAGAAACUUACUAGGAUUCCCUUAGUAAAAGCUAAAGAAUCAAGAAGAGCCCAUCUUGAGAAUCGAGUGCCCCUGGCAUCUGAAUUAUAGUUUGAA